Long non-coding RNA from Monomorium pharaonis (pharaoh ant), 4170 nucleotides. RefSeq lists it as uncharacterized. Lineage: Eukaryota; Metazoa; Arthropoda; Insecta; Hymenoptera; Formicidae. The record is from RefSeq and is a predicted model, not a curated record. The transcript has 2 exons.
AUGCAGGCAGCAACAGCAAAAUUCAGAAAAAAAUAUCGGAAAGCUCAUACUUAUUACUGAGGAACAUUGGAAUAAAUUUUUGUCUUAUCUUGAAAAUUAUAAUGUAUCUGGAGAAGUAACAUUUAAUUGUAAGGAAGAAUCAAGAUUUAAACCAAGAUUAUUCGUAAUGAAUCCUGCUACAAAUGGAAGCACUGAUAUUUUGACAACGUUUACAUCGUAUAUACCAUACAAUAUGGAAAUACAGGACGUAAAUAAAAGUACUUAUCCGUUGACGUCAACGAAGAAUUCAAGAUAUAAAUCUCGAUUGUCAUUUAAAAAAUUACGCAGAUGUACUGCAGCGGUAUUUCAUCGUUGUUUUCAAACUUUAAUAAAUAAAAUGAAUUAUAAUUAUUUCUUUAAAUAAAUAAUCAAAAUAUAGCUUAUAUUUUUAAACUGAUAUUUAUAAAUAUAAGACAAAUAUUGAUAUAAAAUAAGUAUAAGAGUAUGGUGUCGUAGUCAUGACUCUUUAAUUCUAAUUUAUAAAUUUACAUUAAUUUUAAAAUCCUUCUUAUUCUCGAUGUACAUUAAAAUUUGCAAUUUCUUAAGUUCUUAAAAGUUUUAUAAAUAAAAAUUAUAAUUAUAAUCAUGCCUGUGAUGUUGCUCUCUUUAGUUCCUAGCUUCUUGUCAGAAACAUAGUCAAGUUUUCUACAAUUUUACACAAAUAUACAAAUUCAUGUACAACUAUUUAUUAAAUAUAAAACUGCGUUUAUUUACUACGAGACGUUAUCUUAAUUUUCAACCUAUCAAAAAGCUCCUCUAAGUAACUGAAGAAAGACAAGAAAUACUAAUCAAAAGUUAAACAGUAAAUAAAUAUAAUCUUAACUUUUGUAUAAUAAUGAUUAAUAAGAUGUAUUGUGUUUCCAGUAGUGUCCCUGAUCAUAAUGGUUUUAUUGUACAAAGUAUUUUGUUUCUUUAAUUAUAAACAAGACGUUUUAAUAAAAAUGUAAAGUAAAUAUAUUGUUAAAAAGUAUAAAUAAAAAAAGAGCUACUACAAUAUAAAUUGCAAACAUUUAUAACUAUUAUAUGACAAUUAUACAAAGUAAAAAGAUAUCUUUGAAAUUCAGAAGAGUACAAUUUCAAUGUAAUUACAAGCCGUAGAAAACAGAUAUUGACCAAUUAAUUGGCAUAAAUACAUCGUAUCGACUUUCUGAGCGAUAUAUUAGUAUUAUCUGUUGUGUAACUAUUUGAAAAUAAGGAGCGAAUCAAAUUGGGUACAUGGCCAUAUUGGGUACAGGUGUCUUACAUAUGAAUUGUUUCGUACACUUCGUGUUUUACACAAUCUCUAUAUCAUAAAGUUUUUUGCAUUACAUAUAAGCAAAAAAGUUUUUAUAAUUGCAGUUUUUUAUACAAUUUGUUACUCGAUUAAAUGAUUAGAUUACACGAUUAAAUAAUUACAUGAAAUUAAAUAUUUAUAUCUCAUUUUUAUUCUAGACUUUUUUUUCAAAAAAAUGUUUAUUUAAAAAUUUAUAACGAGGUAAGAAUAAGCUUAUACUUAUGCUUUUAUACAUAUAAAGAUAUGCUUGUACUUCCAUAAAUUGGUACAUUAAUAAAUAAUAGAAUAUAAUUUCUAUAUAUUAUAUUGGUAUAUCCAAAAUAAAUAAUUUACGUACAUAACAAUGUAUAAUUAUUUUUAAAUGUAUAUUUUAUCACAUUAAAACAAUCUUUAGUGUGCUAAUAUAAAAAUUUUCAGUGUUUGUGUCAUAUUGUACACAGUCAAAAAUGUUCUAUCUUCAAAUGCUGAGUUAAGAGUAUGCUUAGUUCAUAUAGUUUAUUGUUGUCACUCGUUUUCUUCAAGCAGUAUACAUGCGAUUAUCACGAAAUAUUAAAAUAAAACUAUUAUUUACGGAUAGUAAUAAUAAAAUGGCAGUUUGGAGUUGCAGUAAAACAAUAGCUUGUGGUGCAACAAUAGCUGCUACUUUAAUUUAUUGUUUUAUGAUAUUUUACAAUCACAGGGAAAAGAAAGAAAUAGACAGUAAGUUAAAAUGUAUUUAUCUAAUUGAAACUUUCGUCGAUCUGCCGUUUGUUGAUAUAAACAUAUGUAUAAUAUGAGAAAAUCAAUUGUAAACAUUUUAACAAGCUAAUUGUAAUAUUCUUAUUUAGAAGCUAAUAAUGAUAAAAUUUUCAAAAUUAAAAUAACUAGUUUAUCUUUGUUUAAUAUACAUAGAGAGAAAAAAGUUUACUAAAAAUUCAGCUAAUAAUAUAUACACCACUAAUGUCAAAAAUUAAAUUAAACGAGUUGUUUUUUCUUUAUCGGAAUAAACAUCUAAUAAUCCAAAAUCAUUACGCAGUAAAAGAUUAUACCAGGUACAAUUAAAAGUUGUAGAAGAUUGUGAUUCAAGUAUAAAAAACGCCAGAUAAAAAUUUCACUUAAAUUAUAUCAAUUUCAGUAAUUAUUUUCGAUUCGUAAUUAUUAUUUCUAAUUCAGAGUUAAUGUUUAAUUAUUUCCUAGUUAAUUAUCUUUAAUAAGUAUUUCUCUUAAAUAUAUAAUAUUGUGAAAAUUAUUAACAAAUCUCUUUAAUUAUUUUCUUAUUAAUUAAUUACAUUAAAAAAUAGUUUAACAAUGUAAUCAUUUAACAACGAUUAUCUGUGAUAAAAUUAAAUGUCUAUUUGUUUUACAUAUUUUUCUUUGUUAAAAUAUUCGAAUAAACUAACGAUCUAGUUAAAUUCUUUAUACAGAUUCUUUAUACAUGAUUAUUCAAGCAAGACGAUUAUUUUAAAUAACUCCUUCUUUUGCACACCUAUUCAACAAUCAAGAUGACUUAAAUUGUUUUUUAAUUAUUAAUAUUAAUAACUCAAUAGACUCAAUAAAUAAUAGAGUUCAGAUAAACAUUUUUAACAGAACAAUAAAAUUAUUGACGUUAAAUACGAAAACAUUAUAUGCUUCUAAUGAUUCUUCUACUAACAACAGGUACUGUUCUCUUUUUAAUUGUUAAACAAAAAAUCUUUACAUAAAAAUUAAAUCCCAAUAAAUUAAUUUGAUUUUCAUAUAAGAUGCAGCUUAUAAUCAGAUGACUAAAAGAUGUAAUAACUCAAUAAGAGAUAGUUUUUGAUGGUUUACCAAAGAUUUAAUAUUGAGAUACAUAUUUCAUAUUUAAUAUUUUAAUUGAUAAGUAAAGCUAUCGUUGUAUUACUUGCUGAUUUUAUUGAAACACAAUACAAAAACGCGUGUAGAAUAGUCAAAAAUAAUAAAGAUGUAUAUUUUUAUAUCAGUAAUAAUGCAGUUUUAAGGUUGAAAACCACUCCUAUUUAUAAGCACAAGUAAUUAACUCGUUGCUCACAAAUUAUUUUUAAAUUUUGAAGAUAAGGGUUUUUCAUGUUGCUGAAAGUAAAUUUAAUGCAAAAAUUAUAUAUUUUGAAAUGACAAAUCCAAUGUGACGACUCAAUAAAACAAUCUUGUCUAAUUUUUUGUCGUUUCCAGGAAUAACUGAGGAGGAUAUGACGAGAGUUUAUCCACAUUUUAUUUUUAUUACGAUGUAAACUUACUACUUACAUCAAAGUAUACGCAGUGAGAUCAAUCGAACAUUUUACGCGAGACCGUUUCGAACUUUCUGAUUUGCGUCGAGAUAAUUUAUCAAUAACAAAAAACAAAUUUAAAAAACAAUUUUAUUAUACAAAUCGCUUCAUAAAGCUUUCUCUCUUUUUCUCUUUCUCUUUCUUCUUUAUUUAUAAAUUUAUUAUUUACAUUCAUGUAAAAAUGAAUGUAAGAGGAAUCACUUGACAUUUUUAAUUUAAUAAUCCCGUAGAUUAUUGUUUUAAAACUUGUGUGUCAUUUCAAAUUCUAUAAUUUUUGUAUUAAAUUUGCUUUCAACGACACAAUAAAUUUUUAUCAUCUCCAAAAUAAAAAAAUAACUCUAUAUCGUAAGCUUACAGCAAUGAGUUAAUUACUUGUGCUUGUAAGCAAAAUACAACAAGUUAUUUCUUAGUGUUUAUGAAUACAAGAAAUAGUUUUUAUCUUUAAAAUUGCAUCAUUGUCAAUAUAAAGAAAUAUGUGUCUAUUAUUUUCGGCUGCUCUAGUAUGCUAAAACUACAAGUAUACUAAAUAAUAAAAUUGGCAAGUAACACAAGGUAGUUUUAUAACACAUAUGUAUUAAGAUAUUCUUAUUAAUAUUUCCCUUAAAAAAAAAAAAAAAA